RNAcentral lists this ribosomal RNA (581 nucleotides) under uncultured beta proteobacterium. Its description in RNAcentral is "bacterial SSU rRNA". It matches the Rfam family "Bacterial small subunit ribosomal RNA", at positions 338 to 909 of the family's 1533-position model. Lineage: Bacteria; Pseudomonadati; Pseudomonadota; Betaproteobacteria. The record is from RNAcentral.
CCUACGGGAGGCAGCAGUGGGGAAUUUUGGACAAUGGGCGAAAGCCUGAUCCAGCCAUGCCGCGUGAGUGAAGAAGGCCUUCGGGUUGUAAAGUUCUUUUAGUCGGAAAGAAAGAGUUGCAAUGAAUAAUUGUGAUUUAUGACGGUACCGACAGAAGAAGCACCGGCCUAACUACGUGCCAACAGCCGCGGUAAUACGUAGGGUGCGAGCGUUAAUCGGAAUUACUGGGCGUAAAGGGUGCGCAGGCGGUCUUGCAAGUCAGAUGUGAAAGCCCCGGGCUUGACCUGGGAAUUGCGUUUGAAACUACAAGGCUAGAGUGCAGCAGAGGGGAGUGGAAUUCCAUGUGUAGCAGUGAAAUGCGUAGAGAUGUGGAAGAACACCGAUGGCGAAGGCAGCUCCCUGGGUCGACACUGACGCUCAUGCACGAAAGCGUGGGGAGCAAACAGGAUUAGAUACCCUGGUAGUCCACGCCCUAAACGAUGUCAACUAGUUGUCGGAUCUAAUUAAGGAUUUGGUAACGUAGCUAACGCGUGAAGUUGACCGCCUGGGGAGUACGGUCGCAAGAUUAAAACUCAAAGGAA